AUGAGACUUUUUUUUGUUUUUGCCUCGCUGGCUCAGGCUAAAAAAGCACCAAAACCAGUAGGCUCCCGCCGCCGUGAUUCCCAGGAAACCGAGCUCGUUACACCGGGACUCAGACGUCCCAAGCUAAGCUGCGGUUUUGGCCGUAAACUGAUACAUCGGGAAGGAGAACGGGGCCUCGACACCCCGAGGGAUGCGGGCAGCCAGAGGCGCCUGGCCAGAAGCUCUGUUUAUUCCCUGCCUCUCCGGCCUCGGAAAGCCCCGGGUGCAAGCCGGCCGCCACCUGGCACGGCUUCUCACGGGCCAGCGAGCGCCACGCAUGAAAAGCAGGAGCUGCUCCAAGGACGUCUUCAGGGCGCUACGGAAGUCCCCUCGGCCGGCGUCGGAGCCGGUUUCCCAAGCGAUGCCCGGGGGCGUCCGCUAGGGCGGCCGGAUGGGGGGGGAAAACGCGUCCUCCCGGGGGUGUCCCAGCGUGGGGCGGGCGGAGGGUGGUUACGGGGGCGCCCGUGCCCGGGAGCAGCAAGGCGAGAUGAAGACUUGGGCACCUUGGGUGGAGAGGCCAAACCGUUGGGCUCCCCCCGGCCUCGUCUCACAACCUGCGGCGUUAGGGAGUUUGGGGAGAGGCGGGAGGUUUCACGGAAGCCCUUUAGCUUCUUCUGUGGUGCCAGCAGCGAGGGGCACGGCCACCACGGGCCACCACGCUGGAAGAGGAGAGCUGGCUGCAGGAGCUUCGAGGGUCUUUUGGAAAUGCAGUGCAGAGGCCACCGCCGAAGCGCGGGUGCAAAGCUCGGGCUAGACCAGCAGCGGCCCCACGGCGAGGGGCAGCGCGGCCAAGCGUCACGACAGCGAUACCCCAAAUCCUCAGCAAUGGCACGUCUCAAACGUACGUGUUCUAACAGUUUUGACCUCAGCAGAGCGGUCACCGAACGGCAGCGCCCGCAGCCAUCACCUGCCUUUGCCUGGAGAACUAGCUGGAAAACAAAACUGCGGGUAGCCAAAGGCUUUGCAGGCGGGAUGCGUGGUUGGGAGGCGUUGUUGGGAUGA
Molecule: long non-coding RNA, 1041 nt
Filed under: Apteryx haastii (Great spotted kiwi)
Lineage: Eukaryota; Metazoa; Chordata; Aves; Apterygiformes; Apterygidae
Description: lncRNA (ENSAHAG00000019010.1)
Source: RNAcentral